GAUGAACGCUGGCGGCGUGCCUAAUACAUGCAAGUCGAGCGAACAGACGAGGAGCUUGCUCCUCUGACGUUAGCGGCGGACGGGCGAGUAACACGUGGAUAACCUACCUAUAAGACUGGGAUAACUUCGGGAAACCGGAGCUAAUACCGGAUAAUAUAUUGAACGGCAUGGUUCAAUAGUGAAAGACGGUUUUGCUGUCACUUAUAGAUGGAUCCGCGCCGCAUUAGCUAGUUGGUAAGGUAACGGCUUACCAAGGCAACGAUGCGUAGCCGACCUGAGAGGGUGAGCGGCCACACUGGAACUGAGACACGGUCCAGACUCCUACGGGAGGCAGCAGUAGGGAAUCUUCCGCAAUGGGCGAAAGCCUGACGGAGCAACGCCGCGUGAGUGAUGAAGGUCUUCGGAUCGUAAAACUCUGUUAUUAGGGAAGAACAAAUGUGUAAGUAACUAUGCACGUCUUGACGGUACCUAAUCAGAAAGCCACGGCUAACUACGUG
This 497-nucleotide ribosomal RNA is filed under the name uncultured bacterium. RNAcentral describes it as "partial 16S ribosomal RNA". It matches the Rfam family "Bacterial small subunit ribosomal RNA", at positions 28 to 507 of the family's 1533-position model. The record is from RNAcentral.